RNAcentral lists this ribosomal RNA (249 nucleotides) under Ctenophora environmental sample. RNAcentral's name for it is "partial Bacterial small subunit ribosomal RNA". It matches the Rfam family "Bacterial small subunit ribosomal RNA", at positions 91 to 358 of the family's 1533-position model. Lineage: Eukaryota; Metazoa; Ctenophora. The record is from RNAcentral.
GUUAGUGGCGGACGGGUGAGUAACGCGUGGGAAUCUGCCCUCAGGAGGGGGAUAACGGUUGGAAACGGCCGCUAAUACCCCAUAUGCCGAGAGGUGAAAUGAAUUUCGCCUGAGGAUGAGCCCGCGUCUGAUUAGCUAGUUGGUGAGGUAAGAGCUCACCAAGGCAUCGAUCAGUAGCUGGUCUGAGAGGAUGAUCAGCCACACUGGAACUGAGACACGGUCCAGACUCCUACGGGAGGCAGCAGCGAG